This 269-nucleotide ribosomal RNA is filed under the name uncultured bacterium. RNAcentral describes it as "partial 16S ribosomal RNA". It matches the Rfam family "Bacterial small subunit ribosomal RNA", at positions 524 to 776 of the family's 1533-position model. The record is from RNAcentral.
UACGGAGGGUGCGAGCGUUGUCCGGAAUCACUGGGCGUAAAGGGCGCGUAGGUGGCCGAGCAAGGUUGCGGUGAAAGCCCGGGGCUCAACCCCGGGUCGGCCGUGGCAACUACUCGGCUUGAGCACUGUAGGGGCGGGUGGAAUUCCGGGUAUAGCGGUGGAAUGCGUAGAGAUCCGGAAGAACACCGGUGGCGAAGGCGGCCCGCUGGGCAGGAAGGCUCGCAAGAGCCGGCUGACACUGAGGCGCGACAGCGUGGGGAGCAAACAGG